UACGUAGGGUGCGAGCGUUAAUCGGAAUUACUGGGCGUAAAGCGUGCGCAGGCGGUUUUGUAAGCCAGAUGUGAAAUCCCCGGGCUUAACCUGGGAAUGGCAUUUGGGACUGCAAGGCUGGAGUACGGCAGAGGAGACUGGAAUUCCUGGUGUAGCAGUGAAAUGCGUAGAUAUCAGGAGGAAUACCGAUGGCGAAGGCAGGUCUCUGGGCUGACACUGACGCUCAUGCACGAAAGCGUGGGGAGCAAACAGG
Molecule: ribosomal RNA, 253 nt
Filed under: uncultured bacterium
Lineage: Bacteria
Description: partial 16S ribosomal RNA
Rfam family: Bacterial small subunit ribosomal RNA
Source: RNAcentral